UGGUCAAGCCCUUGAGUAAUAGACCUUC
This 28-nucleotide non-coding RNA is filed under the name Rattus norvegicus (Norway rat). The record is from RNAcentral. Lineage: Eukaryota; Metazoa; Chordata; Mammalia; Rodentia; Muridae.